RNAcentral lists this ribosomal RNA (422 nucleotides) under uncultured bacterium. Its description in RNAcentral is "partial 16S ribosomal RNA". It matches the Rfam family "Bacterial small subunit ribosomal RNA", at positions 362 to 776 of the family's 1533-position model. The record is from RNAcentral.
UUUUGGACAAUGGGGGAAACCCUGAUCCAGCCAUCCCGCGUGUAUGACGAAGGCCUUCGUGUUGUAAAGUACUUUUGGCAGAGAAGAAAUGUCAUCCCCUAAUACGGGAUACUGCUGACGGUAUCCGCAGAAUAUGCACUGGCUAACCACGUGCCAGUCGCCGCGGUAAUACGUAGGGUGCAAUCGUUAAUCGGAAUUACUGGGCGUAAAGCGUGUGUAGGCAGUUCGGAAAGAAAGAUGUGAGAUCCCAGGGCUCAACCUUGGAACUGCAUUUUUAACUGCCGAGCUAGAGUAUGUCAGAGGGGGGUAGAAUUCCACGUGUAGCAGUGAAAUGCGUAGAUAUGUGGAGGAAUACCGAUGGCGAAGGCAGCCCCCUGGGAUAAUACUGACGCUCAGACACGAAAGCGUGGGGAGCAAACAAG